This 496-nucleotide ribosomal RNA is filed under the name uncultured bacterium. Its description in RNAcentral is "partial 16S ribosomal RNA". It matches the Rfam family "Bacterial small subunit ribosomal RNA", at positions 29 to 507 of the family's 1533-position model. The record is from RNAcentral.
AUGAACGCUGGCGGCGUGCCUGAUACAUGCAAGUCGAGCGAACGGACGAGAAGCUUGCUUCUCUGAUGUUAGCGGCGGACGGGUGAGUAACACGUGGAUAACCUACCUAUAAGACUGGGAUAACUUCGGGAAACCGGAGCUAAUACCGGAUGAUAUUUUGAACCGCAUGGUUCAAAAGUGAAAAACGGUCUUGCUGUCACUUAUAGAUGGAUCCGCGCUGCAUUAGCUAGUUGGUAAGGUAACGGCUUACCAAGGCAACGAUGCAUAGCCGACCUGAGAGGGUGAUCGGCCACACUGGAACUGAGACACGGUCCAGACUCCUACGGGAGGCAGCAGUAGGGAAUCUUCCGCAAUGGGCGAAAGCCUGACGGAGCAACGCCGCGUGAGUGAUGAAGGUCUUCGGAUCGUAAAACUCUGUUAUUAGGGAAGAACAUAUGUGUAAGUAACUGUGCACAUCUUGACGGUACCUAAUCAGAAAGCCACGGCUAACUACGUG